Molecule: non-coding RNA, 123 nt
Organism: Picea glauca (white spruce)
Lineage: Eukaryota; Viridiplantae; Streptophyta; Pinopsida; Pinales; Pinaceae
Source: Rfam
AUGUACAUUCCUACAACAUAGCGUUAAUGCGUCGAAUCCCAUUAGAAUUCCGCAGUUAAGUGCGUUCAGGAUAGAGUAGUACUGGGGUGGGUGACUGUCUGGGAAGUCCUAGUGUUUUACAUG